Long non-coding RNA from Rattus norvegicus (Norway rat), 3173 nucleotides. RefSeq lists it as uncharacterized. NCBI's taxonomy places the organism in Eukaryota, Metazoa, Chordata, Mammalia, Rodentia, Muridae. The record is from RefSeq and is a predicted model, not a curated record.
UCCAGUCCAAUAUUCUCCUGAUAAAUUAUAAUCCACCUCAAGUUAAAAGAUUAAGUAUUCAGAGGUCAGGUUAGGAAACAAGCUAUAUUUACUUUUAAAGGCAGAUACAAGGGGCAAUACCCUGCAGGUUGAGUGACAGCAAUGAACCAUGAUGACUGUAGAGAAUCUGAGAUGAAGAGACGGAGAGUGGGGUUCAGGCAUUUGAGCUUAGGAAGCAGCCUUGGCCACCAUGUUUCUCCUCUCAAGGCUGAAGGACCCUGUGGGAAGAUGGAAAGCUGAUCAGACAUGUAGGUAUAUAAUUUCCAGGGAAGGGUCUCUAAGAAACACCUCUAACUAUUUCCCCAAAGCUAACUGUUUCCAGAGUUGCUUGCACAUAGAUUGGCAGAGAAAAAUCAUGGACCAUGCUGGAAGAUAGCUGAGGCCUGGAUGCCCAUUGUGAUCCACAGAAUUAAGUGGGGUAAGACUUCUGUGACCUCACAGGAUAAAUCCAAAACCUAGUGACUGCAGUGUUCUCUACCUGAGGCAAAUCAGUGUAAAUCAAGGAGUUUUGGUAUUCACAGCAAACCCACAUGUCUAGCAUGACUGAAGGUGUGAAAUACAGUGGAAAUAGCAUCCCAGCACUCUAUGUAUGCAGGUUUGCAUGUAAGAACAGGAGAAAAGACAAGAAUACUGGAGAAUUCAGCCCAACUUGCAUGGCUCUAAGAAGAAGUGAAAUUCCUUACAGGAGAAGAAAUAGAAGACAGUGUCCCACGAAUGGCCCUAAGCGAAAGCUGUAGGAUGAUGUCAUUACACAAGUAAGGCAAGUACAAGAUAGAAUGAGGCCUGUAAUUGGAUGAGAACAAAGGGUGGGUGGGAGAAAAGUUUGAGGGAAGAGGACAGGAGAAGCCACAGAAUAGAACAAGGAGGCUGACGUUAUGAUUCCACUCUGUGUAUUUGCAGGUUGUUAUGAAUAUUCUUAAGGGAUAGAUGUGUACAGGGCUUUGUAUGUUUAGGUGGGCAAUUGUAUCUUAUCAAUUGGAUCAGAGGUUAUUGUGUUGUUUGUUCUUUCUUGUAGCAAUUUAAGUUUAAGAGAGUGUGUGGCAGCUAGAGACCCGAAGUCACCAAGGAAUUGGGAUGUAUGUUUCUGGCAAGAUAUCUACCAGAUAUCUUGGGGCACUGUGGUGCCAGAUCUAGUGGGGGGGUAAAAUAUAGUCCAUUUCUUAUAAAUUUUACAACAAUAGAAAGCCUUCAAUACUCCCUACAAGAACCAUUCCAAAAGGUAUGCCUGGGCAACCUUUGAUCUUUUUUAAACUCUAAAGCCUGGCCUUUGUGACCUCAUAUCCAGGGCUAAAGUCACAAUUACAAAUAUGCCCUGCUUUGGAUGGCAGAAGAGUCCAUUAUAUUGGGCUAUGAUUUACAGUCAUGAGAAAGUAGGUACUGAUUCUUUCAGGUAAGUCAGCGUGGUGGUUUGAAUAUGCUUGGCUCAAGGAGGUGUCUCUUUAUUCUAGUAGGUGUUGUCUUAUUGAAGGGUGUCAAUGUUGGGAUUGGCUUCGAAAUCUUCUUUCUAGUUGACUGGUAGUCAAUCAUCUGUUGUUUGCCUUGGGACCAAGAUGUAGAACUCUAAAUUCCUCCAAUGCCAUGCCAGACUGGAAACUGCUGUGCUUGCCACCAUGGUGAUAAUGGACUGAACAUAAGAACCUGUAAACCAGGCCCAAUUAAAUGAUGUCCAUUGUAAAAGUUGCCUUGGUCAUGUCUCUUCACAGCAAUGGGAACCUUAACAAAGAGAGUCAGUGGAGAAAAUUUUUUGAGUAAAGACAUGAUCUUACAUUAGUGUAUAUGCUUGGCAGAGGGCUUUCUAGAAAGGGAUGAUUAUGGGACAUAAUUUGGUAUUUGAAGAGUUUUUGAAGUACAAGUGUGACCAUAAGAAGAGAUGAAAUCAGAAAGACCAGAAAAAUACAUGACACACAGUCAGAGGACACAAUCUCCAUACCUAUGAAUUGGGCCUUGUGAAGAUCUACACAGCCUCUAAUGUUUAAGUGGGACAUCCUCUAGGCACAUGGAGGACUAACCUUUCUUGUUUCUCUUAAAUACCUGUGGUAUUCUAGCAAAAGAUCUGAUAACAGAAGGAAGGGAAGCCUGCAUGAUAACUUUGUGGAAUAUACCCUCUUUGUACCUACUUAGAAGCAACAAUCUUUCCACAUGACCUCACAGGGCCUCUCCACUACUGGCACAGCCACCUAUGCAACAGGAAGUACUUUGCGAACUAUCUUUCCCUCCUCCAUCUUUUAUCUUUCUAUUUCUCUAAUGUAUGCUGUGCUUCCUCUGGACUGUGGGCUGUAUGUUCUUUAUCAGUAUAUUAUUUCCCUGGGGAUAGUUCAAAGAUAUUCUACAUGUACUAGAGAUGCUAGAGAAGGUCACCAAUUAAAUUUCUCUAUCAAUAUCCACACAUCUAUUUUAUUUUCCAGAAAGGCUGCUAAUAAACCAAAACUAAACAAAAAAUAGGUUUGGACAAACGUGGAAUCCAAAGACUCUACAACCUUAACUGUAAAAAAAAAAAAAUCUGAUACAGUAUACCCAGAAAACAUAUGCAUCAGGCAAAAUUCUGAGAACAAAAAAGCGCAGAAAAAAGAAUGAUAUAAUGAAAAUUGUCAAAACAAACAUGGGCCCUGAAGUAGCUGGAUCUAAAUGUGAAAGUGAAAGUAUUUGAGAUUUAAACAUGACCCCAAAGACCCAAACAUAGAAGAGAAGUGUUCCUAGGCCUAAAACAGACCAUUAUAAAGGCCCAAAGACAGAAGUAUGCCUUGGAGUAAUGAUGAUGCCUGGGGCAAAAAAAGUUGUGUGCCUGGAAAAAAAAUGUAACCCUGAAGAAACUGUGCACAGAACAAGAUGAAAAGGGGUCCAGAAUCAGAUCCAGACCAUACUGAUGAAUCUGAUACUGAAAGAGAUGUGGGACUUGAUAAAUUUCUGAAAUGAAAGAGGCCUGGCCCAAACCAGGAAAAGGAGUGUGCCAAGGACAAACCCUAAACAUGAAGAAUCCCAUCCCUAAAGAAAGAAGAGAUAUGGGUCUGCACCAACCUCUAAUCUUGAAGAUGUGGGUUUAUGUAAAUUCAUGAAAUGAUAGAGGAUUGGGCCAAACACACACACACACACACACACACACACACACACACACACACACACACACACACACACAA